CUACGUGCCAGCAGCCGCGGUAAUACGGAGGGUGCGAGCGUUAAUCGGAAUAACUGGGCGUAAAGGGCACGCAGGCGGUGACUUAAGUGAGGUGUGAAAGCCCCGGGCUUAACCUGGGAAUUGCAUUUCAGACUGGGUAACUAGAGUACUUUAGGGAGGGGUAGAAUUCCACGUGUAGCGGUGAAAUGCGUAGAGAUGUGGAGGAAUACCGAAGGCGAAGGCAGCCCCUUGGGAAUGUACUGACGCUCAUGUGCGAAAGCGUGGGGAGCAAACAGGAUUAGAUACCCUGGUAGUCCACGCUGUAAACGCUGUCGAUUUGGGGGUUGAGCUUUAAGCUUGGCGCCCGUAGCUAACGUGAUAAAUCGACCGCCUGGGGAGUACGGCCGCAAGGUUAAAACUCAAAUGAAUUGACGGGGGCCCGCACAAGCGGUGGAGCAUGUGGUUUAAUUCGAUGCAACGCGAAGAACCUUACCUACUCUUGACAUCCAGAGAACAUUC
RNAcentral lists this ribosomal RNA (498 nucleotides) under uncultured bacterium. Its description in RNAcentral is "bacterial SSU rRNA". It matches the Rfam family "Bacterial small subunit ribosomal RNA", at positions 501 to 1000 of the family's 1533-position model. The record is from RNAcentral.